CCUACGGGAGACAGCAGUGGGGAAUAUUGCACAAUGGGGGAAACCCUGAUGCAGCGACGCCGCGUGAGUGAAGAAGGAAUUCGUGAUGUAAAGCUCUAUCAGCAGGGAAGAAAAUGACGGUACCUGAGUAAGAAGCCCCGGCUAACUACGUGCCAGCAGCCGCGGUAAUACGUAGGGGGCAAGCGUUAUCCGGAUUUACUGGGUGUAAAGGGAGCGUAGACGGCAGUGCAAGUCUGGAGUGAAAGGCGGGGGCUCAACCCCCGGACUGCUCUUGAAACUGUACGGCUGGAGUGCAGGUGAGGUAAGUGGAAUUCCUAGUGUAGCGGUGUAAUGCGUAGAUAUUAGGAGGAACCCCAGUGGCGAAGGCGGCUUACUGUACUGUAACUGACGUUGAGGCUCGACAGCGUGGGGAGCAAACAGGAUUAGAUACCCCGGUAGUC
Molecule: ribosomal RNA, 440 nt
Filed under: uncultured bacterium
Lineage: Bacteria
Description: partial 16S ribosomal RNA
Rfam family: Bacterial small subunit ribosomal RNA
Source: RNAcentral